RNAcentral lists this unclassified non-coding RNA (240 nucleotides) under soil metagenome. RNAcentral describes it as "partial contains 5.8S ribosomal RNA, internal transcribed spacer 2, and large subunit ribosomal RNA". The record is from RNAcentral.
AACAUCGCGCACCUGCGGGAACCUGCGGAAGGAUCAUUACAGAGUUGCAAAACUCCCUAAACCAUUGUGAGCGUUACCUAAACCGUUGCUUCGGCGGGCGGCCCGGGUCCUUCCCGGCGCCCAUCGGCCCUCGCGGGCGCCCGCCGGAGGUAAACCAAACUAUUGCAUUGUAUGGCCUCUCUGAGUCUUCUGUACUGAAUAAGUCAAAACUUUCAACAAUGGAUCUCAGAUCGGAAGAGC